Aedes aegypti (yellow fever mosquito) is the source of this 715-nucleotide long non-coding RNA. RefSeq lists it as uncharacterized. The record is from RefSeq and is a predicted model, not a curated record. The transcript has 3 exons. Lineage: Eukaryota; Metazoa; Arthropoda; Insecta; Diptera; Culicidae.
UUCUGCACCUGUUUCGGUUAAAUAUUUGAGUGUUUGCCUUGCAAAGCGUCAUUGUGGUUCACUGCCAGCUUGGGUAUAAAGCUCCAUUCCCAGUAACGCAGGAAGUGUAGUUCCGAGUCAGUUGAAGUAAUACAGAGGAAAAGAGCAGUUAUAUUCGACUCCGUACCGGUAUCCAGCAUUUGACGGAAGACAUGAGUUUUUCAAGCAAACUUUCGAUGGUUGUUAUGCUUCUAGCAGUUUCAUAUGUACUGAUUGCAUCGGGACAUCUGACCAACUGUACUCCAUACAACAGCACCGCCGUACUGUGCCAGGUGAUGAAUGGAACGGAUUUCGGUGCUAGAGGAGGUCAUCACGGAGGACGCGGUCGCAGGAUGAUUGCCCAAUUGCUCAAUGCAGCAGGAAGUGAACAGGAACCGAUCAAUUGAUGUCACUGUGGAAAGAUUCGUGAUUAAUAUCAACGGUCUUUAACCCUUUUCGAAAUGCGGGGAUGUGAAAUGUGGUUCAGAGUCAGAAAUGUACUUUUGAUGUGGUCAGUGCCGUAGCGUGCGGUUGGCCAGGUUGGCACCCGCCAAGGGCGCCAGGCUUCAGGGGGCGCCAAAAUGGGAAUUUUAAGAAGAUUACUAUUCAGCAACGGGAUUUUUUGGUGAUAAAUAUUUAGUUAGGGCAUUUUUGAUGUCAUAGAAUGUAGAAAAACAAUUAUAGACAAUAUAUAUAA